GUGCACUCUUAGAUAGCACAUAUACUAAAAUUUGAAUGAUACAGGGAAGAUUAGCAUGGCACCUGCACAAGAAUAGCAUGCAAAUUUGUGAAGUGUUCCAUAUUUUU
Apodemus sylvaticus (European woodmouse) is the source of this 107-nucleotide small nuclear RNA. The record is from RefSeq and is a predicted model, not a curated record. Lineage: Eukaryota; Metazoa; Chordata; Mammalia; Rodentia; Muridae.